This 660-nucleotide long non-coding RNA is filed under the name Rattus norvegicus (Norway rat). Its description in RNAcentral is "long non-coding RNA NONRATT024021". The record is from RNAcentral. Lineage: Eukaryota; Metazoa; Chordata; Mammalia; Rodentia; Muridae.
AGCUCCUGUGUUGAGAUGAGGUCACUGGUUUGCAGGCCCUGCCUGACUUUCUCUCUCAUACAACUCUGUCCAAGCAUACCAGCUCUGAAGCCAGUUGGGGGAUUUUUAAGUAGAUGUUCUUGAUGUACUCUACAUUUAGAAUCUUUAUAGAUCUUUGCUACAGGAUUUUUCAAUUCACUGAACUAUUUUCAUUGAGUUUUCCAAAGCCUUCACUUUGACUUCAGUCCUCCCACACGCCAUCGUGGUAGUCGGCAUUCACUGCGUUGCUGUGAUUCAGUCUAAAGUGGCAGGAGCAGGUUCGGGAGCCAUCUUAGCUAACUCGGUGUAGCUCAGCUAGGGCCCCACAGUUUGUGAGUGCACAUCCAGUCCACUUAUUGAUAGAUUGUGUGCAUUGUAGCAGUGUGACUCGGGUGCUGAAUGGUGAGAUCAUUUAAGCUUUUUAGAGCCUAUUUCGUGUGUUUGAGCCGGUGCUGGACAGCAGGGUCAGCAGGAAGCAGCCAUCUAGUUGGAUAACACGGACCGAUCGCAACAUAGUAUUGAGAUAAUGAGAACUCUUCUAAUCAAUGGAUAAAGUGGGGAAAAUGUGGAACAACUUCAAAUACAGGUGCCAGAAUCUCUUCAGCCAUGAAGGAGGAAGCCGAAGUGAGAAUGUGGACAUGA